Cherax quadricarinatus is the source of this 3818-nucleotide long non-coding RNA. RefSeq lists it as uncharacterized. The record is from RefSeq and is a predicted model, not a curated record. NCBI's taxonomy places the organism in Eukaryota, Metazoa, Arthropoda, Malacostraca, Decapoda, Parastacidae.
GGUGGUCCAUUUGCUUGGUACACUCUGUAUUGAGAAGUUGAAGGUGACUUUGAUGGUGACGUGUGGGACGAAAAUUGUAUAAAUUAUGAGUGAUGUGCAAUUUAAUCAUGCUGAAAACGAAAUGAUUCUCACGUGCUUUAGUGAACGGUCACUCAUGUUCUGAAAAUUUUGUUGAUAGUACUUCAAAAUAUGCUAAAAGGGCUGGAGGUCCCCAUCAGUGUCGCCAGCAGGUCCUGACGACGCCACAGCCCGACUUCAUCCUUCACCAUAUGGCAAGUGACGACUUAACAGUUCGAGUGAUAAUAUCGCACAAACUUAAGGUAAGUUUGUGUUUCCUUAGAGUUGGAAGUUGGUUUUCGUGUCCUUUACACAGCAGUAUCAUGUACGUGUUGCUAGCCAUAGCUUCUGUCUCGUUUCAUAGAAUUCAUGGCUGAAAUCCUUCUUGCUAGUUGGCAAGGUAACACGAAUUACUUGAUCGACACCAUGCCUAACCCUUCUAGGGUAGGGUAGGUGCCUGAGCCCGAGCCUUUAGCUCAUAAGACUGUCAUUCCCAUUUGCCCCCUUGGGGCGGGGAUGGCAGACCAAAGAGGCCUAGCUUGUGGCUAGGCCUGGGGACAGUUAGUCCCAAAGAUGAGGAGGUACUUGUGCCUCCUCCCAUGGGAGACUUAGGUCUCAGACACUCCCUAAAGAGGGAGCCAAGGCCGGGCCACCACUUGGAAAAGGCCCGGGCCGGGAGAAUACCGGCUAAUCUUUAACUAACUAACUAACGAAUUACUUAUUUUGUAACGCAUUGCACACAGGAAUGUAUGAUUAGCUGCGGAAAUAAGAUAAUUAGUGCCGAUAAAAAUUAGGUUAAUUCAUUUUAAUCGAAACUCCUGCUAUAUUUUUUUUUUGGUGAAAAUUUAAGACAUAUUUUAUUUUGAGUAGUGAAUCUUAACACAUUUUUUAUUGAUUUAUGUGCAUAAUUUAGUUAAAAUUCUGUCAGAAAAUACUUCAAACCGCUUUUUAUGUCUUUCUUACAAAUGCAAAAAUGCAUUGUUUACAUUUUGAAGUUAAAUUUUAAUAAUAAUAAUAAUAAUAAUAAUAAAAAUAACAAUAGUUAGUUCCUAUUUUUCUCAUGUGAAGUAAAUUAGUCUUUUUGAAGAUUAUUUGAAGCAGAAGUUUUCAAACUGGAGUUGUCGCUUAAAUAAGAAUGAAUUUCUCUGACGUACUUUCCGACGCGACUAAGACCACGUCUCGCAAGUUACAUAACACUCGUCUUAUUCAAGACACAUUGGCAACAGUGGGGUGUCUUUAUUGCUGAAACGUGGUCGGUCCCUCAGUCUGUGGGACUGACCACCUCAAAUACUAUUUCUACACGGUUGAUGGAUUGAUUACAUCUUUAUUUCACUACUACACCUGCUGCCUCUGUAACCUGACUGAAGAAGUCGACUGGGUAGGCGAAACGUUUCAACAAUAAAGAUACCCAACUGUUGCACGUGUCUUAAUCAUCAACUUGUCGGUAUUUUAUACUAUGGUCAACAUCUCAUUCAUUCAAGGGAGAGUUCCUUGAUGUUGAGGUGGGCCUCUUGAUGCAAGGAAUUGGAACUGCCUUCCCUUAUUUGGGUUUAAUUACCUCUCAUUCUUUUGACCCUAAAAUAUAAUAAUAAGUACAAUAUUAACAAAGGAAGGGGGGGAAAGGAGACAGCAGCGGGAGCCAAAUUCGAAUCCUCAAAGGAGCCGCAUGCGGCUGGCGAACCUCAGCUUGGUCACGUCUGUUGUAUGCCGACACGACUGUUUAACUUCCUCCUGUCACAUCUCGCAACGACGAUAACCGAAACAAAAUUAUUGAUUUAGCUAAAUGCACUUUAUUUAUGCUGACUCCUGAUAAUGUUGCUCGUCUUUUUUGACUAGACCAGGGUAUACAAAAUUUUAAUCGUCGUUACUGAUAUAUUGGUAAGAUGGGCGGCUGUCCCUCACAUGUUAUAGUAUCGUUCAUUACCAUAUUUGAAGACUAAUGUGUGUAUUGUUUACUGAAAGUCUCUACCGCGAAAAUCUGUGAACGUUCUUGAUGGAUGUUUAUCAGUUUUAAGUCAUAUCUAAUAAAUGGCGGGAUUUAUUCUGGAUUUUUUACCUUUAUUUAAGCUAUGAAAUAUUUGUUUUAGCCAUGGUGGCGUUCGUGUCAUGUUAGUAAUAGUCGAAUAAAAUUUAUUUCAAUCGUGAAUGAAGUGUAUAAUGAGGUAAUUUUAUUAAACUAAAUAUAUAGGUAAACGCUGGGAUAGAAUUUCUUGUACCGCAAGUCAAAGUUCCAUUUAAAGGUUUACUUUUUGCUAGUGAAAUUGUCUUGUUACAUACAAUGUUUUCAAGUCACAUUCACUUGAUAACUUCUUAAAGGUGGCAUUAUACUGACGUCUUCACUUUCUGCGAGUAAAGUUACACUGAUGUGUUCACUUUCUGAGAGUGAAGUUACACUGAUGUGUUCACUUUCUGAGAGUGAAGUUACACUGAUGUGUUCACUUUCUGAGAGUGAAGUUACACUGAUGUGUUCACUUUCUGAGAGUGAAGUUGUAUCACCAUGUUCACUCUGAAGGUAAAUUGUUGCAAACGACACAUUCCAGAUUUAUUUACGCGAGAACCAACAUGACAUCAACGUUGCAGGUUUAUGUUUGGCUUCGAAUAUAAUGUUUGCAGUAUAAAUAUAUUAUCACGUCGGCUGUCAUUUAUCAGUUUUAUCACAAGUGGACGGACAUGACAAUUUAAAUGGCACUCAGCACAGCUUUGUUUACCUUGAGUGCUUAGGGACUCUAGUGUCCAGUAGGCUUUUAUGAGCGUGUUAGAUCAAAGUGAAUUGAAGACAAGUGGGUUUUAUAGUUUGUCGUGCUGUUGGAAUGUAAAUAAGAUUAUAUUUACGAAGGUAUUAAGGGAAGUCAUGGAGGUGGAGAGCAGAGUGCAUGCACGUUGAAGACGCAGUAGGGAUGUUGCACUUCAUAAGGUCAUUGAAACUGUGAUGUUUCCACACUUCUGGCAAGAUGGUUAUUGAAUGAAUGUUUGUGACUGUGUUUCCUUAUUUUGGGUUACAUUGUGUAGGAGACGGCCGAUGUGUAGCAAUUUUUGUUUUAUGAACUUAAUGUCUAGAAACGUGCAGUACAAGUUUCGUUUCCUCCAACUUUAAAACAAAAUCGCGUUCCACACUGAAGUCACCUUUAAAAAGAGUUGGAUAACAGCUCUUAGCCUGUAAAACUUUGUGGAAAAAUAAAAAAUACACUGACUAGAUCCCUUCAAGUUGCGCGGCCGCGUAACACAGAUGCCGCGCACUAAAUAUUCACACCGCGCUCACUCUUAGUAUCAGAUAACGACUUGAGUCAGUGCCUUGGUUAUAUUUUGGUAGUUUCAUUAUGCCGUGUUGCAUAUUCAUUCAGUUUCUUUUAUACCUAUGGAAUGUGGUAACUUUAAAGGCUUUGUAAGUGCUAUAGCGACUGGUAGUUUCUACCUGUAUCGCUAUUUAAACAAUGUUGCGGGACUUGUGCACAUGAUUAUUCUCUCGUACAUGGGGGAUAAAAAAAAUGAGAGGACCAUUGUUGGAUCUAACAGGGCAAUAGUGAUAAAAAGUCAUACGAUAAAGAGCAAGCUUUAUUAAACUAUGAGUUCUUCUUAGAGCGAAAAGUCAUCCCAUUAAAGUUUGGUAAGCAACAUGUUUCUUCACCAGAGAAAAUAUUAGCCGAUAUAUUUUUUUUUUUAUCCAAGAAUCGUGUUUUACAUUGGCGUCCCAUUUUCUCUAAGGAGUCGCCAUUGGAGGAAUUUGCACUACAAUAGUCAGGUAACUCUGACCUGAAACUGCU